RNAcentral lists this ribosomal RNA (460 nucleotides) under uncultured bacterium. Its description in RNAcentral is "partial 16S ribosomal RNA". It matches the Rfam family "Bacterial small subunit ribosomal RNA", at positions 338 to 795 of the family's 1533-position model. The record is from RNAcentral.
CCUACGGGUGGCAGCAGUGAGGAAUAUUGGUCAAUGGACGCAAGUCUGAACCAGCCAUGCCGCGUGCAGGAAGACGGCUCUAUGAGUUGUAAACUGCUUUUGUACGAGGGUAAACGCAGAUACGUGUAUCUGUCUGCAAGUAUCGUACGAAUAAGGAUCGGCUAACUCCGUGCCAGCAGCCGCGGUACUACGGAGGAUUCAAGCGUUAUCCGGAUUUAUUGGGUUUAAAGGGUGCGUAGGCGGUCGGAUAAGUUAGAGGUGAAAUCCCGAGGCUCAACUUCGGAAUUGCGUCUGAUACUGGUCGGCUAGAGAGUAGUUGCGGUAGGCGGAAUGUAUGGUGUAGCGGUGAAAUGCUUAGAGAUCAUACAGAACACCGAUUGCGAAGGCAGCUUACCAAGCUACUUCUGACGUUGAGGCACGAAAGCGUGGGGAGCAAACAGGAUUAGAUACCCGUGUAGUC